RNAcentral lists this ribosomal RNA (454 nucleotides) under uncultured bacterium. Its description in RNAcentral is "partial 16S ribosomal RNA". It matches the Rfam family "Bacterial small subunit ribosomal RNA", at positions 28 to 507 of the family's 1533-position model. The record is from RNAcentral.
GAUGAACGCUGACAGAAUGCUUAACACAUGCAAGUCUACUUGAACUUCGGUUUGGGUGGCGGACGGGUGAGUCACGCGUAAAGAACUUGCCUCACAGAUAGGGACAACAUUUGGAAACGAAUGCUAAUACCUGAUAUUAUGAUUUUAGGGCAUCCUAGAAUUAUGAAAGCUAUAUGCACUGUGAGAGAGCUUUGCGUCCCAUUAGCUAGUUGGAGAGGUAACGGCUCACCAAGGCGAUGAUGGGUAGCCGGCCUGAGAGGGUGAUCGGCCACAAGGGGACUGAGACACGGCCCUUACUCCUACGGGAGGCAGCAGUGGGGAAUAUUGGACAAUGGACCAAGAGUCUGAUCCAGCAAUUCUGUGUGCACGAUGAAGUUUUUCGGAAUGUAAAGUGCUUUCAGUUGGGAAGAAAAAAAUGACGGUACCAACAGAAGAAGUGACGGCUAAAUACGUG